UACGUAGGGUGCAAGCGUUGUCCGGAAUUAUUGGGCGUAAAGGGCUCGUAGGCGGUUUGUCGCGUCUGCUGUGAAAACUGGAGGCUCAACCUCCAGCCUGCAGUGGGUACGGGCAAACUAGAGUGCGGUAGGGGAGAUUGGAAUUCCUGGUGUAGCGGUGGAAUGCGCAGAUAUCAGGAGGAACACCGAUGGCGAAGGCAGAUCUCUGGGCCGUAACUGACGCUGAGGAGCGAAAGCAUGGGGAGCGAACAGG
This 253-nucleotide ribosomal RNA is filed under the name uncultured bacterium. Its description in RNAcentral is "partial 16S ribosomal RNA". It matches the Rfam family "Bacterial small subunit ribosomal RNA", at positions 524 to 776 of the family's 1533-position model. The record is from RNAcentral.